RNAcentral lists this long non-coding RNA (1441 nucleotides) under Anas platyrhynchos platyrhynchos (common mallard). Its description in RNAcentral is "lncRNA (ENSAPLG00000026660.1)". The record is from RNAcentral. Lineage: Eukaryota; Metazoa; Chordata; Aves; Anseriformes; Anatidae.
GAAAGCAACUUGAACAUCUGCAAAUUGUUCUUUCAACUGCAGCAAGAAAAGGAAAGAGAGGUAACGUUUUGACCCUGAGACAUGGGUGGAAGUACACAGCAAACUUGAGAUUGUCAGCUAAUAAUUCGGAUUCAUGAUCUCAUAACUUAUGUUGGGAUGAGUGCUGUCAAAUGUUAUAACAUGCUGCACUAUGGCUUUAUUACAGUCCUGGGCAGCUUUCUCAACAAACACUAUCAACCUGUCACUUGUUCCAUCUGUGUUUAUAUAUAAUGCUGCUAAUGUCCUAAGGUCUUGUAUCUAGGAAGUCAGAGUUUUUUUUUUGUUGUUGUUUGUUUGUUUUUGUUUAUAUGUAUAUAUUUAAAACUACAAAAAUACUGAGAAUUAAAAUUAAAUGCUAAUCUUAUAAAGUUGGAUGUUUCUCUUUAAGGUUGUCUUAAAAACUAUUUCUUUAUGUACCUGCUUAACCUUUUGUGAUAAUUAAUGCAAACAUUGCAUUUACAUGACAUAAUUAGAAGCUAGUGGCAACUUUUCCUAUGCUGACCGCAUUGUGACAGCUUCACUAAAGAAACUGUUUCAUAAUAAAGAUAUCAAGUAUGAAUAUCUUAAGUGGAUCAGGAUUCAUCAGAGCAGUAUCUGUUACUUGAUGGGCCAUAGCUUAUAAUGUGUUAUAUUCUGGAAGAUCCAAAAAAAAGAUUUUUAACCAAAAAAAAGGUAUUAAGGAGACACUUCAAGGUAAGUCAAAAUUUCAGCUGAUCUUAAGACAGAGAUUCAUAAGCACAGGGGUAGAUGUUAUGCAUGUGGCUGUGGGAGUGGAUGGCCCAGAAGAACUCUAGGGCAGUACAGAGUGCAAGCUGGCUGCAUCCUGACUAACCAAAAUCUGCUUCAUCCUCAGUUAUGUGAAAGGAGGUUAAGAUCUAGAUUUUUGGGUGCAUACACACUCAUCAGAAAAGUAUGUUUCUAUGAAGUUUUCUAUUUUACAUAAUUCAUGUACCAUGUGUUUGUGGCUAAGUGGUUUUAGGGCUAAUACAGCCUUAGGACUAGAAGAAAUAGAGUUUAUUAACAAAGACAUAUAUUUCCAGGUAAGCUUUGAAAUUGAUAUAUCUUAACUAGUUCCUUCAUUUGAGAGACUGCUAACAUAUGUCCCAUAUGUCUCUUCUGAAAUAACUUGUUCAUAAAUUGUGUUUUUAACCUUCUUCUCCCUAAGUCUUUCGAUUCUAGAAGUGGCAUGUGUUUAUUGUUUGUUUUUGGUUUUUGUUUAUUUAUUUUUUUCCUACAGACUCUGUAUAAUUCUAAAGUAUGAAAUCAAAUCAUUUAUUAUUAUUAUAAUUUUUAAUUCCAUGGUAACUAUUAUGAAGGAAAUGUAAAAUUUCCAUCAUGCAAAUUAUUCCAGCUUUGUCUUCUGGAAAAUAAAUAUAAAUUUUCUAGCUAUUUUCUUUCUUCU